UUGCAGGGGCAGGGUGGUGAGUCCACGCAGGCUGCCUAAGGUGCAGACUGUCCACGUGAGGGAAGGCUCGGAGCUGGUUCCCCACCCAGAGCCUCCCUGGAGGCGCACGGCUUAACCACACAGGCCUGACCUCCGCGAGGCCUUCACACUGCACGUGCGCCUGGAUCCACUCCAGUCGGUCCGAGUUUUCCUUCUCCCGAACUCCCUCAUUCACUUGAGAGCACAGCUCCUCUGCCCGCUCGAGGGCCAGCUUUAGGGAGGAAUGGUCUGCAUGGCUCUCCGGGGUGUUCUCCAGAAUCUGGAAAAGAGUGGGCAGUGUCACAUGGGGGAGCUGCGUCUCUCACCUGCCCACCUGGACCUUCGCAGGACCGCUCCUCCAACCCCAUGUUAUGGACUGCUUCCAUGCCCUGGAAACGCGGCGGUGAACAAGACGACACUUUCCGCCCUUGAGAAACUCGUACUCCCACAAGUUCUUGGGGACACAGGGACAGGUAACGCUGCUGUGACAAGGUGACAGUGCUAAACGGAUCAAGUGCUCUGAACUGUGUGGGUCUCUGGUUGCUCUCCGACUGGCUCCCGGUAAUAGGCGGGAGCCUCCCGACUCCUUCCGAAAUUUAAGCCAUGUAAGGGUGCGCCCUCCUGUAUAAACUGGCUGCAGCUGUGGUAAGUGUGAACUUGCUGAAUAGCAAUGGUUCAUAACAAUUUUGGGGUCACUGAUCCUUUUGAAAAAAAUCUGAUGAAAGCAAUGACUCCCAUGCCACAGGAAAAAUACAAUAAAAUCACAUUGUCAGCAUGUGGAAGAAAUGCAUUCUGUUCAUUCUGAAGCGAUUUCAAACGACGCAUGCUGCAACUGUGAACGCGCAGAGGCCAGAAUACAAACGUGUGUGGUCCCUCCAGAAAUUAGGAGCCAUCACCAGAUGCCCCGUCUGGACUCUCUCACUCUAGUCAGAUGAGUGCACAGUCCUUCAUUUACAAUUCUAAAAUGCAGAACAGCCUGAGAGCCUAAAGUUUUUAUUCAGUACCCAUUUGGUGGCAAAAUCUGACCUAAACAGAAGAGAUAUAUUUACUUACUCUUACAGUGAUUGUUCUUAUGUUCCACUGUAGGAAUAUUAGUGUGUCUGGUUGUAAGUGCUACCCUAAGGCUCAGUUGAGGAGUCAUAUAUUAUAUGGUAUUUGAGCUACAUUCCGAAUUCUGAAACACAUCUGGCCCCAAGUAUUUCAAUGAAGGGGCUGUGAACCUGCAUUAUGGUUCAGUUUAGUGCAGGCGUCUAUCACAUGAGGUCUAUGUUGAGGUCACACAGCUAACAGACCAAAAGUCAAGGAAUCAUCAAUAGAAGUAACAAGCUUAUCAUAUUCCUGCUGCUUUUCUUUGUAAGUUACUGUAAUCAAUGGUUAAUCGUGGGAUAAUCUUUUGUAAAGUCUGCCUUUUCCUUAGAAGGCUUAUGGGCUCAAGAGGGCCCUAUUGCUUAUCAAAAAGAAAGCUGGAAGGAAUUUUAGAAGGAAUGUUGAAGCCGAAUACAGCGAGGGACACAAAUGAACUCUAUUUAUGAUGUGCCAAGUGGAGCCUCCUGGGACAUCUAGGAAAGGUGUUCAGGGUGGAUGGAGGCAGAUCUCAGAGGAAAGACUGGAGUCUAAGGUUACUCUGGUCUUUCUCUGGGUUCAAGAUGGGCUCCACAACUGGAGACCUAGAGGGGCCUUUCCCUGCCUGGACAAGUAUACUUAUGACUUUGAGAUGCUGGGGAGUUUCUUGAAAGGUGGGUGACAGGUUACCCAAGUGAUACUGGAUUCCUCUCUGAUUUGCCCACUUCAAGGAUUCAGCGUGUUUCUGUGCACACACACACACAGGCAUCUGGUCCCCGGGACAGUGGGAUCACUUGUGCGGUGUCACACUGUGUGCAGGGUGAGGUGGCAUGCUCAGGGCUCCCUGAGGAUCUGGCCUCUGUGGACCUCAGCGCAUCCUGCUCCUAACUCAGACCCCACUGCCCGGCCUGCACACUCACACUUCUGAUGAGCAGUGGGUAGCGGGUGAUCCUCUGCAUGGGUUUCAGCAGGAAGCUGGAGAGGGGCAUUCCUUUACACCGCGGGUCAGAUGCCAGCUUCUGCAAAACAACAGUGAGGCUCGUGAGGAAAUCACAGCUCCGAUCACAGGAAGCACUGGUCUUUGAUCGCCUUUUAGAUUUCACAUUUCUUUUAUUUAUUUAUGUUUCUCCCUGUCUUACUGUUUUAGAAUUUUUUUUAGGUGAGUGUUCUAUUUUUUAUUUUUAUUUUAAAAUUUGUGUAUAUUCACAACAUACAAGUGUAAUUUUGCUACACUGAUAUGUCGCACUGUAGUAAAGUGAGGGGGCUUCGACUUUCUUUUAAAUAACUCAGGAUCUAAAAUGAUACCUAUUAGGUUCACAGUAGGAAUAUCUCAGCUCAUGUGCCAAGCCCAGCGGAUGCUCCUCAGCUCUUUCCCAUGACCUGUGCUGGGACUGUCCCCUGCCCUCUCUUCUCGGAGCUGAUUCACACUUGACCCUCAAGACUCAGGCCCUGCUUCCCCUUGUCCAGGCUCUCCCCUGGGACACCUUCCCUCCUUUCCAUGACCCUCCCUGGCCACCUUUAGCAUACACCACAUGUGCACCAGGUGAUACAGGGAGAGGCAUCGUGUUGCAGUGUCUCUAUUCCACACCCGAUUUGUGAACGCCAGGCCCAGGGCCCACAUCCUACUUGCCUCUACCCCUAGCUCUGGUACACUGCCUGAAGACAGCAGCUGCUGCUCUAGGAUGGCAGCUUUUAAUGACUGAAAAGUACACUCACUGUAAUCCACCUCAUCAUUUCCCCACUACUGGAUAUUUAAAUUGCCCCCCUUUUGUUUUGGCCGUAUCUAUAUAGGUUGCUGUCACAAGCAUCUUCGUGCUUCUUAUUUCCAUAUUUUCUGAGUCUUUUUAAAAAGUAACAUUUUAGAACACAGCUUAUUGCUAGAUUUUGCUUUUUAAGGUAACCUAUAGCAGGCCUUUCAUGAGGCAGUAUUUUUAUUUAUUUUGACUACUGUUACAAUUGUGAUGACUUUGAAAUCCUAUUUACAUCAUUAUUUUAAAACAUGCACAUAUACUAACAAUUCUCAGUUUAUCUCAUUAUUCUGAUGAAUGUUUAAUUCUAUGGUCUUGGUUUCCAUGUUUCUUCCAGUUCAUUUCGAGGCAACUCCCUGCCUCCUACCCUUAUCACAAAUCGAAGGGCUCUGUCCUCACUGCCUUAUAUUGAAUCAUUUUUGCAUCCCUGAGAUCAUCGUAAGGAAAAAUACGAUAAUCAUUUAUUGAAUGCUAAUAGUAAUGUGUUGGUCUCUGAGUUAAAGUCCUUUAAAAGUACUGUGUGAUAAUCUCCUUUUAUAGAUGAGGGGACUGAAGGCACCCACAUGUUAAAUAACUUGCCUCUGGUCACACAAUUAGACAGUGACGGGGCCGAGAUUCUGAAGCCUGUCUUGUUCUAAGCAUAGUAUGCUAUAGCCUCCUGAGAUAAUCCUAUUUGGUUAUGAUAGGCUCUUCUUUUCAUGUAAUGCUUAAUUUUAUGAAUUGUUACUUUAAUUAAGAGUUUAACAGCUGUAUUUGUAAAUGAUAGUGGGUUUUAACUUAAACAGGCCUUGGAAUCAUGGCUACUUUUGCUUUAUAGAAUGAAUUAGGUGACCUUUUUACUUUUUCCUAUGAUCUGUAACAGUUUGUAUAAUAUAGAAUAAUCUGUUCCUUUAGAGUUGGAGAGAAUUCCCUGUUAAAUCCAUCAAGUGAACCCAGCUCCUUUUUGGGAACUGUGCAGAGCGUGUGAAGAAUCUCACCACCUCAAGACAUUUUUCGAAGUUACUGAAAUGAUUAAAUGAAUCAGAUGCUUCAGACCACUCCAAACUGCAGGUCAUGAGCCAUUAGUGGGUCAUUAUAUCAUUUUGGUUUUAAAAUGCUGGUCAGGCCCAGCAUUAAAAAAUAAAUAAAUAGAAAUUACCAUGCAUAUGGCUUUGGUAAAUAUUGUGAAAUGUUUAGUUAUGUAUGUAUUCGAAAUGUAAAAUGUAUUUCUCACUGUGAGCUACUGUUAAAAAAAUGUUUGAGAAACAGUCUCUAGAUUUCUUAAAGGAAAGUUCUAAGGUUAUAAAACCUGAAAUUCCCAGAUCCCAGCAAUUCCCAGAAGACCACUGCCUCAUCUCACUAGAACAAAUAACUCCUGGUACACUGCAGAUAUCCAGCCACAAAUGACAGGAAAGUCACAAGCAACCUUGCAUCAGGGUGAGAGGUACUGCAUUCACUAUGGAUCAAUUCACAGGCACAUCACAGCUGAACUAGAUGUCAAACUAUGAAGUGACAUAAUUCCAGAGUCACUUAACAAGUAGCUGAGGGCUUGCCUAUACACAGUGAUGUGGCGAAAUACCUCAGGAAACCCUUCUUAGAAAAAAAAGCAAAAGCAGCCGGGCAUGGUGGCUCACACCUUUGGGAGUAAUCCCAGCACUUUGGGAGGCCAAGGUGGGUGUAUCACGAGGUCAGGAGAUCGAGACCAUCCUGGCUAACACGGUGAAACCCCGUCUCUACUAAAAUUACAAAAAAUUAGCCAGGCGUGGUGGUGGGCGCCUGUAGUCCCAGCUACUCAGGAGGCUGAGGCAGCAGAAUGGUGUGAACCCAGGAGGUGGAGGUUGCAGUGAGCCG
Molecule: long non-coding RNA, 4658 nt
Organism: Homo sapiens (human)
Lineage: Eukaryota; Metazoa; Chordata; Mammalia; Primates; Hominidae
Source: Ensembl